RNAcentral lists this unclassified non-coding RNA (272 nucleotides) under plant metagenome. RNAcentral's name for it is "partial contains small subunit ribosomal RNA, internal transcribed spacer 1, and 5.8S ribosomal RNA". The record is from RNAcentral.
UUUCCGUAGGUGAACCUGCGGAAGGAUCAUUAAUGAGUUGUCAUGGGGUUCGAUGCUGGCAGCCAGUUUUUGGAUGCAUGUGCUUGCCCUAACAAUCAUCUUCUUCCAAACACCUGUGCACAUUUUUGAGGGAGUCUUGAGUUGGUUGCCGCUCUUGGGUGAUUUUCUCACAUUCCCUUAAAUCAUUAUACGCUAUUAACAAUGUUGAACGUGCUCUGUGCCGCAAGGCCUUUAAUAUAAUACAACUUUUAACAACGGAUCUCUUGGCUCUC